This 696-nucleotide long non-coding RNA is filed under the name Gossypium raimondii (Peruvian cotton). Its description in RNAcentral is "long non-coding RNA (GRAI_LNC007751)". The record is from RNAcentral. Lineage: Eukaryota; Viridiplantae; Streptophyta; Magnoliopsida; Malvales; Malvaceae.
UUUUUUUUCUUUUUGUUUAAAACAAUAAACAGAGGGGAAAGGGGAGGAUUUCUUUGCUAGGUUUUCCUUAAAGCCCUAGCCACCGUAGCCGUCAAAGCUCCGCCGCCGACUCUGAUUCAGGUAAGUUUCUCCUUUUCUUUAUUUUAUUUUUUACAAAAUAAAGAACUAAUCGAAAAAAGAAAACAGUAAAAACAGAAACGAAAAAGAAACUCACUUUCAAAAUCUUUCUUUUCUCUUUUUUCUUUUGUAUUUUCUUUCUCUUUCAAUACAAAAUUUUUCUUUUUUCCAAAUCGGUUUACCAUCCCCCUUUUUUCUACCGAAAACUAAUAAUAAUAAAUAAAUAACUAAAUAAAAAUCCUAUCUCUUGCUUGUUGUGCUAUGGUUCAUGAUUUGUUUGCAGGAAGAACGUGGAAACGGUGUGGGGGUUAUUGCGACGUGGGGUGUGCGCGGCGCUGGAGGUUGCUGCGACGUGGAGAACGUGCACGGCGCAGGGGGAGACUUAGGGUUUCUGGAAACAGAUUAGCAUUAGGUUAAUUGGGUUGGGCUACAUUUGGGCUUGAGUUAAUGAAAUUGGGCCAUGUUGGGCCGAAUGUAUUUAGUUUAUUGGGCUGUGCAAAUAGUUUUGGGCCCCGGGCAAUAAUUGCGUAUUACAACGUGUUGUCUAUAUUAUGCAGUUUCUAUGGAUGGCAUAUGCCG